UACGAAGGGGGCUAGCGUUGUUCGGAAUCACUGGGCGUAAAGCGCAUGCAGGCGGAUCAUUAAGUCGGGGGUGAAAUCCCGAGGCUCAACCUCGGAACUGCCUUCGAUACUGGUGAUCUUGAGUCCGGGAGAGGUGAGUGGAACUCCGAGUGUAGAGGUGAAAUUCGUAGAUAUUCGGAAGAACACCAGUGGCGAAGGCGGCUCACUGGCCCGGUACUGACGCUGAGAUGCGAAAGCGUGGGGAGCAAACAGG
This 253-nucleotide ribosomal RNA is filed under the name uncultured bacterium. RNAcentral's name for it is "partial 16S ribosomal RNA". It matches the Rfam family "Bacterial small subunit ribosomal RNA", at positions 524 to 776 of the family's 1533-position model. The record is from RNAcentral.